UACGUAGGGUGCGAGCGUUAAUCGGAAUUACUGGGCGUAAAGCGUGCGCAGGCGGUUUUGUAAGUCAGAUGUGAAAGCCCCGGGCUUAACCUGGGAAUGGCAUUUGGGACUGCAAGGCUGGAGUGUGGCAGAGGAGACUGGAAUUCCUGGUGUAGCAGUGAAAUGCGUAGAUAUCAGGAGGAAUACCGAUGGCGAAGGCGGCAUCCUGGACCGGCAUUGACGCUGAGGCGCGAAAGCCAGGGGAGCAAACGGG
This 253-nucleotide ribosomal RNA is filed under the name uncultured bacterium. Its description in RNAcentral is "partial 16S ribosomal RNA". It matches the Rfam family "Bacterial small subunit ribosomal RNA", at positions 524 to 776 of the family's 1533-position model. The record is from RNAcentral.